Molecule: ribosomal RNA, 497 nt
Filed under: uncultured bacterium
Lineage: Bacteria
Description: partial 16S ribosomal RNA
Rfam family: Bacterial small subunit ribosomal RNA
Source: RNAcentral
GAUGAACGCUGGCGGCGUGCCUAAUACAUGCAAGUCGAGCGAACAGACGAGGAGCUUGCUCCUCUGACGUUAGCGGCGGACGGGUGAGUAACACGUGGAUAACCUACCUAUAAUACUGGUAUAACUUCGGGAAACCGGAGCUAAUACCGGAUAAUAUAUUGAACCGCAUGGUUCAAUAGUGAAAGACGGUUGUGCGGUCACUUAUAGAUGGAUCCGCGCCGCAUUAGCUAGUUGGUAAGGUAACGGCUUACCAAGGCAACGAUGCGUAGCCGAGCUGAGAGGGUGAUCGGCCACACUGGAACUGAGACACGGUCCAGACUCCUACGGGAGGCAGCAGUAGGGAAUCUUCCGCAAUGGGCGAAAGCUUGACGGAGCGACGCCGCGUGAGUGAUGAAGGUCUUCGGAUCGUAAAACUCUGUUAUUAGGGAAGAACAAAUGUGUACGUAACUAUGCCCGUCUUGACGGUACCUAAUCAGAAAGCCACGGCUAACUACGUG